This 5751-nucleotide long non-coding RNA is filed under the name Cinara cedri. The record is from RNAcentral. Lineage: Eukaryota; Metazoa; Arthropoda; Insecta; Hemiptera; Aphididae.
CAUCCGUGUGUUUGAAUAAAAUUUUAUAUUAUUAUUAUAGUAUUUUUCAUGAAAUUAUGAGUUAUAGAAAUAUUAAAGAUGAUAUAAAAGAAAAUCUAACCAAGAUUAACUUAUCAAUUUAAAUUAACUUAUACAUAAUGCGAUAGUAAAAAUCGACUGUGUCCUCUUCAGAGAUUAUUAAUAUACCUACGUUGUGGUAUUACGAUUUAUUGACUUUUAGAACUGAAGAUGAGGAGUAGGAAUAUCAGGUAUUAAUGUAGUGAGUAAUAUUUUUAAGUGCACAUUUAUCAAAUAAAUAAUUUACCUUAUUUUUUAUUUAAAAUUAUUCUGUAUAUUUUAUAUAAUAGUGGGCUCCAAAGUUGUUAUCAGUUAAAUCAACUAUAGAAACACAUAAAAUAUAAGCAAAUAAAAAAAAACAAAUAAGAAAUAAUUCCUACAUUAUUUCAAGUAUCUACAACAUACCUGCUUGUAUAUGAAUCAAUUAUUAGUUUUACAUUAUGUAUAACACAUUUGCAAUGUCUACAAGUCUCUAUAGUGUAUAGGCACAUGUUUAGAUAUUAAAAAUUAAUUUGUUUUCAUAUUUUAAUAGGGAAAUACCAAUAAAUGUACAUUACAAGAAUCUACAAGUGUUGGCAUUGAUAGUUGUAAUAAAGUAUCAACUGACAUGUUUGAAAUGGAAAAAUUCAUAAAAGUGAAUGACGAAGAAGAAAAAAGUAAAUAUCAUUGUGGCAAUUAUCUUUUGAGUACGUAUUUUUCUCUCUUUUGUCCAAUCUCACCGCCUAAAUUUAUCCACACGCAAAAGAAAAAUAAGGUACAACAAAUUUUGGUUCAGGAUAUUUAUGUUAACUCAACUUGAAUUUAAAAUUUGAAUACAAUCUCAUAAUAAGAGUACGGAUGUUGUUUCAUUUGCAACUUUUUUUCCAUCUUUUCAAUUUAUUGCUAACUAAGUUUCAAAUACGUUUCAUGUAGUCGACACUCGACAAUCGUGUAGAUAAGAUUAUACUAAAACAGGGAUGGGCAUCCCAAAUGUACUAAAGGGCCAGUUUUUGACAAUUAAAAUCUAUGCGAGCUAGAGCAUAGCAAAAAGAAAAAAAAAAUUAUUCAAAGUAUAUAUGUAUUUAAAUUAGUAUUUAUUUAGCAUAAUUUGAAUUAACAGUAAAUAUAAAGAAAGGUUAUUGAAAAUAAUUAAAUUAAAUAAAAUAAAAAUAACACUAUUACUACUUGUUCAAUGUGACAUUUGUGACUGCUAAUGAUAACGCAGCAAAAUCGAUUACUAUUUCAGAAGUGGAAACACAAAGUAGGUGACUUAAUGUUUCAUCAGUAAGACAAUUUUUUUGCUUUGAUUUUAUAUGUUUCAUAUUUGAAAAUGUACAUUCACAAAUGUAGGUAGUUCCAAAUAUGGAUAACAUUUUUAACGCAAACUCUCAUAAAAGAGGAUAUUUGUUAACAGGUAAUUUUUUUCAAAAGCUUACAUCAAUAUCUUUCGUGGAUAAUAAUGAGUCAGUUUGCAACUCGCAUAAUUCUGAUUGAAGUGCAGCAUCUUGCUUUUCAAUUUCAACUGCCAUUGGAUUAUUAAACAAAUUUAUUUGAGGACGCGUAAGUUCAACUUCUUCAAAUCGUCUUUCGAAUUCUACAGUUAAUUCAUGCCAGUGGGUAAUGCAAUUUUCAAAAUUGAACUCGUUAAAAUGUUGAGAAAUAUUAGUUAAAAAUGCCAAUUAACAUAGAAAUUGUUUAUCAAUCAUUUAGUUUUCUAAAUAAGUGGUUUCAGUUGUACUAUUCGUUUAGGAAACUCAAGUAUUUCUUUUCUCAAAACAAAAUAUCGUUCGAGACACUUUCCACUACUAAGUUUCUGUAAAUAUGUAAUAAAAUUACGAAUUGCACUAUCAGUGUCAGUUAUACCCGUGGUCUUCAAUCAGUGGGUCGCGACCCAUUUUUGGGUUUUCUUUUUAAAAUAAAAUUAAGUUUGAAAAUUAUUGUAAUAUAUUAUGUUAUAAACAAUAUUAUAUAAUUUAUAUUCAAAAAUAUAAUAAUAUAAUGGAUUUCAAAUCACAGUAUUUGUUUUGUAAACUGGUAUGUUUUUAUUUAGUAUGACAUUAAAAAUAAGAGUUAACCAGGCUAAUAAUAAAACAAAUAUAUUAUAUUAUUAUCGUUAGGAUGUUGUCGCUGUGUUUAAAGAUGAAUAAAUGUUAGUCGUGUUAUUGUUCUAAUCAUAUUUAUGUAUCCGUUAAAAAGUUUUUUUUAUUUUUAUUUAUUUAUUUAUAACAAUACUACUACAAAGUAUUAAGUAAUUUUAGAUGUUUUGUUUUUUUGUUUUUCUACAAACAUUUUUCUUUAUGUAUGCCUUUUAUAGGUCGCGAAUAAUGUAUGCUUAAAAAAGUGGGUUGCCAAUAAUGUUCGCCUAAAAAAGUGGGAUGUGAGUCCAAAAAGGUUGAAGACCAUUGAGCUAAAAGACAUGUCACUGUGCAUCUUGAAAGUGAUAUUUUUUUAAAUUCACUAGCAAUUUUGUUUUAAUUUAUUGUUUCAGUCAUUUUUAUUGCACAGUUUUUAACAAAUUCGUCAUCACUCAACGAGUUUUUAGAUUUUGCUAUUUCAUUAGAAAUAAUAUAUGAAGCUACUAAACUGGAUUGUUGUGAAGUUGUUGUUGUUGUUGUCAUCACAUUUUGUUAUAAUUGAAGUUUUCUUUUCCGAUCAAUUAUAACACUCUCUCUUGCAUAUCACCAAUGUAUUUUUCAUAUUUAGACAAAUAAUUUGUCAUGUAAUGUCUUUUUAAAUUAUAUUUUUUUAGUACUGCAAUAAUAUUUAAACAAACUAAACAUUGAGGGUUUUUUGUUAAUAAUAAAUAAAUAUUCAUUUUCUUAUAAUCUGUUGCAUAGGCCAAUUGCCCAUCCCUGUACUAUAAUAUUGCCAGCUAUAAAAUCUAGUAAUGGUAUCAUAUUCUUAUUUUGAUAAUUCCAAGUCGGUAGGUAUUCAAUACAAUACAAAAAUAAUUUGUGAAAUGUGACUGUUUGACUGUUAUAAUCUGUUUUUCAGUCACUCGAUGAAUUUUGAGUGAUUGUGUUCUGUUAUUAUGCUGAAAAUUAAGCUAACUAUUUCCAUUUUUGUAAAAAAAAUUGUUCCUUUUUAGGAAGGAAUCAAUUCCAAUAGUUUUUUGUCACUACAAUAUCCUUGCAGAUGAGUAUUAAAUAAUAAUAAAAAUUAAAAAUUUGUUUAGUAUAAGAAGAAAAACCUUAAGCCUGGUCCAAAAUAAAGUAACUCGGUGUUUUCAAGUAUUGCCAUUUGUUUUUGUUUUCUUGAAACAAACAUUAACAUUUAUAAACAUGCUGUUCACAUCUUAUCAACAAAUUUGGAUGUAUAUUGGAAAGUAGAAGAGACACUAUUACGAAAAUUGGGUAAGAUGAUCAACAUAAAUAAUCAUUAAUUUGUGAUAUACCUAUUGUCAGGUGUUUGUGAUUAAACUUAAUAAAACUAUUUUUUUUUGUUCACAGUCCAACAAGUAAUGAUGAAAUGUACAACUUAUAUAUUAUGUACUGAGUGGAAGCAGAGGUGAAUAGUCUACUGCUUACUGUUAAGUUUUCUAUGUAGGGACUUCUACAUGACAAAAUUGUAAUUAUUUUUAUCAAUUCACCACCUGAGUGGACAGUUUUCCAUUUAAUAGUGNAAAAAAUUAAAAAAAAAAAAAAAAAAAAAAAAAAAAAAACAUAGGAAGCUGAAUGAGAAAAUAUAAGAAUUGUAUAAAUAUCAUUAAAUCAUAUUAUCAUAAUGGUUCAACAUUGACAAAUUACCAACUGAAAUAAUAAUUAUAAAAUGAUUUUUUAUUUAUUUUGACAUACAAAUCCAAAACAAUAAAAUAUAUGUUUUUCCAGUUCAUUUGUUUGAAUUUAAUAUUUAUUUCUUAAAAGUUAAAUUCACUCUUGUAGGUAAACAUAAAUACAUAAUUACAAGUAUUAUUAAUACAAAUAUUGAUUAAACAUUUCACAUUAAAAUAAAAUAUGAUGUAUUGUAUAGGUAGGUAUAUUUAAUACUGAACAUUAAAUAGGAUAAUUAAUUGAUCAUUUUUUGUUUAAAUUUUAAAAUUCCCAAAACAAAUUUAAAACCAAAAUUAGCACCUAUAUCUUAAUUAUUUAAAUAUAGCCUAGAUAUUUUCUUUUCUUUAACCUAAUUUUUUUUACAGAAAACUAAUUUGAUGAGGGGGUUUAAAUUCAUGAACUACAAUAAAUAUCCAUUUUUGUUUAUUUAUCAAAACUUUAAAUAUUCUAUAGAAAUAAACAUUUGUUCAUUGUUCAAUUAUAUCAUAUAUGUAUUGAUUAAGUUAAAAUAAUGUGAGACCUUUAAUUACUAGCUCUGACCAACUAAAGAAUAUAACAAAAACAUGUUUAUUCAGACUGAUUAUAAUUAAUUUAGUUUUAGUUUUAAAGCACCUAAUUAUAAAACUAAAAGUGGAUAAUAUUCUGGAGAACACCUUGUUGCCAUCAUUUUAAACGUGAUGUACAUUAUUAUGAAAUGUUUUAAUAUUUUAAAAUUACUGUAAAUUUUUUAAAUGUUUAUUUUAUUUUAACCACAGUAUGGUGCCCUACUAAAUAUUAGUCUUCUUUUAGUUUUAUAGCAAGUGCUUUUAUUCUAAAACUAAAAUUAAACAAGGUUUACUCAGUCUGUAUUAUAAUAUUUUUGCUAUGUUGCUUAUUAAUUGGACUGAAAUAAUACAUAAGGGUAACAUAUCAUGUCCUUUUAAUAACUAGACAUAUUUAAUAUAACCUACCAUUUGAAGGAUUACUUUUAAAUUUUGAGAGUUUGAAACUCAUUUCUAAGUAUUAUUGUAUUAAUACUUGUACCAGUUGCAAAUCUGUCAUCAGUGGGAUAUUUUUAGAAAAUAUAAAAUAUUUUGAACAAAAAUAAUAAUGACUAGUAAAUUGUAUGUUGAGAUACUACACAUUGGUAUUAAGUACUUACCUAUAUUAAUAGUGUUGCAUGAUUUAUAAAUUAAUUGUGUAUAAUUAACAGUUAAUCAAAAUUGUUGAAAUUAAUUGUGUCAAGGUGUCAUAUAAGAAUAACUUAUAGAAAUUAAUAUAAAAAAUAAAUAUAUGUACUAAGGUAUCUUUUGGUGAUAGAAUUGUAUGAUCUUUAAUUAUUACUUUGUUUUGUAAAAUGGUAACUUUAAUAAUACCAAUUUGAUNCUACUACAUUUUUGAUAAGGAAUACCUAGGGAAUAAGGAAUUCAUACCAUCAAAUAUGUAGGUGUAGAAUAUGCACUAUAGUGUAAAUUCCAUGUAAAAUAGUGUACGUUUUAAUUACAUUUUAAAAAUGUACAAGUUAAUUAUAGGUAUUUAUCUACUUUGGAAUUGAUUUAUUUAUUUAACUGAGGAAACAAGAACAUUUCCUUUAUGUACUUAUGACUAAUGAUAUUUGAUGUACAUAAUAUUAUUUGUACACUAAAUAAAUGUGUAAAUAUAUCUGUCAAGUAUAUAUUGGUGUAUGAUUAAAAAAAAGGUAAAGCAGUUAAACUUCCACUUGAAAAUAAUAGUAUGCCAUUGUUGUCCACAUUGACUACUCAGUUUCCAUGAACGAAUGGCCUGAUAUUUCACACUGAAAAUAAAUGAUGGUGAGUUCCAUGUAUUUGACAUGUUAUUUAAAUUAAUACUGAACUGGGUUAUAAGUGCACUUUUCAAUGGAAGCACUUGCAUAUAAAAUCGCCAGUAAUGCUCUAGUAGGUAGUUUGUGGUCCUAUUUCAAUAGUAUUGCAAAUUAGGCACUCUC